Molecule: long non-coding RNA, 571 nt
Filed under: Manihot esculenta (cassava)
Lineage: Eukaryota; Viridiplantae; Streptophyta; Magnoliopsida; Malpighiales; Euphorbiaceae
Description: long non-coding RNA (MESC_LNC004097)
Source: RNAcentral
CAGAAAACAGUGCGUAUGCACGCGCGAGAAAAGGAAUUGCGGGUGCGGCAACACCGAUCCUUCCGCGUCCAACACGACUAGAAUUGCGGAAGUACGAAAAAGGUUGUUGCGCAAGUUAUAUAGGGUUCCAGUAUAAAACAAUAUGUUUGGAGAGAAGUGCGCAGGUUGUAGUUGUUAGUUGCAGGCUAGCGCACGCAGCCUUUUUUCGCCUAAAACAAUUAAAGCAACAAAAAGAAGGAAAAACAGAAAACGGAAUGCGCGAAAAUGCUACAGCCUGUAAUAAACCUUGAGUAAAUUAAACGAGCCACUUGACAUAUAAAAGGCCUUACGGAGGAGGGGAAAUUCACAAACAUUUACGAAACAAUAUAAGCUAUAGAUAUCGAAAGAGAGGAAGCGCCUUUGAAAGAGAGACAUGGGUUCCAAGGCACAUGUAUGCACAGUAUACCUGUUGUUGCUGUUUGCUUUUACCAGCGAAGCUCUGCCCAAUACCUUUGAUGUCACGAAAUAUGGUGCCAAGGCAGGAUCGGAUAUCACUAAGGUAUGGAAGUAAAUUCGAUUCUCGAUAUCGCGA